UGCUGGACACCAGGCUGGGCAGUGGGAUCUCAUGGGACUUCAGCCUCCUUGGGGAACUGGGCCUGAGCUAGUGUUCUGCUCUCAAAAUUCCAGUGCUGGGCAGGGAAUGAGUGGGCGGCCCUGAGGGCUGAGGACAGCGGGGCAGAUGUGGGGGCAGAUGGAGGGUGGCUUGGCUUGCAAAGAUGAGUUCAAGCAGAGCAACCGCAAGUGCAAAGGCCCUGAGGCCAGAGACCCCAGAGGGAAGCCAGAGGGGCAGCAGGUUGGGCGAGGCUAGGAUCAUGGUUGCUGAUCAAGAGAGAUUCUGGGUAGGCUGAGAGGCACCCCUGGGGGGGUGACAAGAAGACAGCCAGAACUGAAUCUGUGUUUCUAAUCAACUCCUGUUCAGUUAGGACUUCACCGGAAGGUGCACGGGGAGUCGGGCCAUGACCGACCUCAAGACGCAGGCCCUGGGAUGAGUGUGGAACCUCUGCGCACUUUACACUCCAGGUCUUCUUUCAAAACAAAAUUGGACUACGCAUCAGAGAUGUGUAGGAGAUCUUCCCAACCCAGGGAUCAAC
Molecule: long non-coding RNA, 557 nt
Organism: Capra hircus (goat)
Lineage: Eukaryota; Metazoa; Chordata; Mammalia; Artiodactyla; Bovidae
Exons: 3
Source: RefSeq, a predicted model, not a curated record